CUCAAGUUGACAAUUACCGGCGUUAAGCGUGAUUAAAGUUCUCAAAAUUAGGGCCAAAUUAACACUCGGCAGUUUUAUGCUUGUUGUUAAGAAGCACACAAACGAAAGUUGUCCUAUAUUACCUUGAAUACACGACAGCUAGGAAAACAAACUGGGAUUAGAUACCCCACUAUGCCUAGCCGUAAACAAUUAACUUACACCCACACCGCCAGGGGAUUACGAGCAAUGCUUAAAACCCAAAGGAUUUGACGGUGUCCCACCCUACUAGAGGAGCCUGUUCUAUAAUCGAUAAUCCCCGCUUCACCUAACCAUCCCUCGCCUCCAGUCUGUAUACCUCCGUCGAAAGCUUACCAUGUGAACGCCCGCAGUAGGCUUAAUGAUCCACCAUCAGUACGUCAGGUCAAGGUGCAGCUUAAGAGAUGGCAAGCAAUGGGCUACAAUUUCUAAUUUAGAACAAACGAAAGACUAUGUGAAACCCUAGUCAUGAAGGUGGAUUUAGUAGUAAAAAGAAAGCAGAGUGUUCUUUUUAACCCGGCUCUGGGACGCGUACACACCGCCCGUCACCCUCUUCAAUAGUACCUCAUCUGUUCAUAACCCAACACCACAUUUUAGAAGAGGCAAGUCGUAACAUGGUAAGUGUACUGGAAAGUGCCCUUGGUAUACUA
This 665-nucleotide ribosomal RNA is filed under the name Rana chensinensis (Chinese brown frog). RNAcentral describes it as "partial 12S ribosomal RNA". It matches the Rfam family "Bacterial small subunit ribosomal RNA", at positions 608 to 1533 of the family's 1533-position model. Lineage: Eukaryota; Metazoa; Chordata; Amphibia; Anura; Ranidae. The record is from RNAcentral.